Molecule: ribosomal RNA, 31 nt
Filed under: Agroathelia rolfsii
Lineage: Eukaryota; Fungi; Basidiomycota; Agaricomycetes; Amylocorticiales; Amylocorticiaceae
Description: Athelia rolfsii partial 18S ribosomal RNA
Source: RNAcentral
UGCGUAGGUGAACCUGCGGAAGGAUCAUUAU